RNAcentral lists this small RNA (84 nucleotides) under Gynuella sunshinyii YC6258. Its description in RNAcentral is "isrK Hfq binding RNA". It matches the Rfam family "isrK Hfq binding RNA". Lineage: Bacteria; Pseudomonadati; Pseudomonadota; Gammaproteobacteria; Oceanospirillales; Saccharospirillaceae. The record is from Rfam by way of RNAcentral.
GCGCUGGCAAAAAACCAGCGCCGGGAUUGGAACCCCCGAAAAUCACUUCACGGCGGUACAUUGAGACGCUUUUGCGUCUUUUUU